UACGUAGGGGCCUAGCGUUGUCCGGAAUUAUUGGGCGUAAAGAGCUCGUAGGCGGUUCGGCAAGUCGGAUGUGAAAUCUCCACGCUUAACGUGGAGGGGCCAUUCGAAACUGCUGUGACUCGAGUCCGGUAGGGGAGUGUGGAAUUCCCGGUGUAGCGGUGAAAUGCGCAGAUAUCGGGAAGAACACCCGUGGCGAAGGCGGCUCUCUGGGACGGUACUGACGCUGAGACGCGAAAGCGUGGGGAGCGAACAGG
Molecule: ribosomal RNA, 254 nt
Filed under: uncultured bacterium
Lineage: Bacteria
Description: partial 16S ribosomal RNA
Rfam family: Bacterial small subunit ribosomal RNA
Source: RNAcentral